RNAcentral lists this ribosomal RNA (928 nucleotides) under uncultured Bacillota bacterium. RNAcentral describes it as "bacterial SSU rRNA". It matches the Rfam family "Bacterial small subunit ribosomal RNA", at positions 58 to 1017 of the family's 1533-position model. The record is from RNAcentral. Lineage: Bacteria; Bacillati; Bacillota.
CAAGUCGAACGAGAAAGUGGAGCAAUCCAUGAGUACAGUGGCGUACGGGUGAGUAACACGUGGGUAAUCUACCUUUUAGUGAGGAAUAACCGAGGGAAACUUCGGCUAAUACCGCAUAAGCCUGAGAAGGGAAAGCAGAAAUGCGCUGAAAGAGGAGCCCGCGGCCGAUUAGCUAGUUGGUGAGGUAAGAGCCCACCAAGGCAGAGAUCGGUAGCCGGCCUGAGAGGGCACACGGCCACACUGGCACUGAAACACGGGCCAGACUCCUACGGGAGGCAGCAGUGGGGAAUCUUGCACAAUGGGGGAAACCCUGAUGCAGCGACGCCGCGUGAGCGAUGAAGCCCUUCGGGGUGUAAAGCUCUUUCGUCAGGGAAGAUAGUGACGGUACCUGGAGAAGCAGCUGCGGCUAACUACGUGCCAGCAGCCGCGGUAAUACGUAGGCAGCAAGCGUUGUUCGGAGUUACUGGGCGUAAAGGGUGUGUAGGCGGUUCUUUAAGUUUGCUGUGAAAUCUCCCGGCUUAACCGGGAGGGUGCGGUGAAUACUGAGGGACUAGAGUACGGGAGAGGAAAGUGGAAUUCCUGGUGUAGCGGUGAAAUGCGUAGAUAUCAGGAGGAACACCGGUGGUGUAGACGGCUUUCUGGACCGACACUGACGCUGAGACACGAAAGCGUGGGUAGCAAACAGGAUUAGAUACCCUGGUAGUCCACGCCCUAAACGAUGCAUAUUUGGUGUGGGCAGUUCAUUCUGUCCGUGCCGGAGCUAACGCGUUAAAUAUGCCGCCUGGGGAGUACAGUCGCAAGGCUGAAACUCAAAGGAAUUGACGGGGGCCCGCACAAGCGGUGGAGCAUGUGGUUCAAUUCGACGCACCGCGAAGAACCUUACCUGGGCUCGAACGGCUUCUCAACGCCGGUGGAAACAUCGGUAUCC